GUGUCAGCAGCCGCGGUAAAACGUAGGACGCGAGCGUUAUCCGGAGUUACUGGGCGUAAAGCGCGGGCAGGCGGCCUGCCAAGUCUGAUGUGAAAUCACCCGGCUUAACCGGGCGAGGCCAUUGGAAACUGAUAGGCUGGAGGGCAGUAGAGGUAGGCGGAAUUCCGGGUGGAGUGGUGAAAUGCGUAGAGAUCCGGAGGAACACCAGAGGCGAAGGCGGCCUACUGGGCUGCACCUGACGCUGAGCCGCGAAAGCCAGGGGAGCGAACGGGAUUAGAUACCCGAGUAGUCC
Molecule: ribosomal RNA, 292 nt
Filed under: uncultured bacterium
Lineage: Bacteria
Description: partial 16S ribosomal RNA
Rfam family: Bacterial small subunit ribosomal RNA
Source: RNAcentral